AGAGUUUGAUCCUGGCUCAGAUUGAACGCUGGCGGAAUGCUUUACACAUGCAAGUCGAACGGCAGCACGGGAGCUUGCUCCUGGUGGCGAGUGGCGAACGGGUGAGCAAUAUAUCGGAACGUACCCAGUCGUGGGGGAUAACUCUCCGAAAGGAGAGCUAAUACCGCAUACGUCCUGAGGGGGAAAGCGGGGGAUCGCAAGACCUCGCGCGAUUGGAGCGGCCGAUAUCGGAUUAGCUAGUUGGUGAGGUAAAGGCUCACCAAGGCGACGAUCCGUAGCGGGUCUGAGAGGACGGCCCGCCACACUGGAACUGAGACACGGUCCAGACUCCUACGGGAGGCAGCAGUGGGGAAUUUUGGACAAUGGGGGCAACCCUGAUCCAGCCAUUCCGCGUGAGUGAAGAAGGCCUUCGGGUUGUAAAGCUCUUUCAGCAGGAACGAAACGGUCGACUUUAAUAAAGUCGUCUAAUGACGGUACCUGCAGAAGAAGCACCGGCUAACUACGUGCCAGCAGCCGCGGUAAUACGUAGGGUGCGAGCGUUAAUCGGAAUUACUGGGCGUAAAGCGUGCGCAGGUGGCGACAUAAGACAGAUGUGAAAUCCCCGGGCUCAACCUGGGAACUGCGUUUGUGACUGUGUUGCUAGAGUGUAGCAGAGGGGGGUGGAAUUCCACGUGUAGCAGUGAAAUGCGUAGAGAUGUGGAGGAACACCGAUGGCGAAGGCAGCCCCCUGGGUUAACACUGACGCUCAUGCACGAAAGCGUGGGGAGCAAACAGGAUUAGAUACCCUGGUAGUCCACGCCCUAAACGAUGCCAACUAGGUGUUGGGGGAGGAGACUUCCUUAGUACCGUAGCUAACGCGUGAAGUUGGCCGCCUGGGGAGUACGGUCGCAAGAUU
Molecule: ribosomal RNA, 895 nt
Filed under: uncultured bacterium
Lineage: Bacteria
Description: bacterial SSU rRNA
Rfam family: Bacterial small subunit ribosomal RNA
Source: RNAcentral